GAUUGUACCAUUGCAAGAGAGAUUUAUGGUUGGCGAGAGCUAGCAACUCAACUGAAUAUUUGGAAAUUGGCCGCAAAUGGAGCUAUGUUUGGCAAGAGGACCUAACACAAGGGGACGUAAAAUUAUUCCAAUUUUUUGAUAGUGGCCAACUCAAAAGAGAUAAUCCCUAUAAUGGCACAUGUUGAAACUUAAAUCCAACUCUAUGCAGCUAGCCAUGAUGACAGCUUCUCUCUCUCUCUCUCUCUCUCUCCC
This 252-nucleotide long non-coding RNA is filed under the name Elaeis guineensis (African oil palm). RNAcentral's name for it is "long non-coding RNA (EGUI_LNC077491)". Lineage: Eukaryota; Viridiplantae; Streptophyta; Magnoliopsida; Arecales; Arecaceae. The record is from RNAcentral.